This is a transfer RNA of Phytophthora infestans T30-4, 73 nucleotides long. It matches the Rfam family "tRNA". Rfam says of the family: Transfer RNA (tRNA) molecules are approximately 80 nucleotides in length. Their secondary structure includes four short double-helical elements and three loops (D, anti-codon, and T loops). The record is from Rfam. Lineage: Eukaryota; Oomycota; Peronosporomycetes; Peronosporales; Peronosporaceae.
GUCAGUGUCGUCUAGUGGUUAGGACGCGAGCUUCACACGCUCGAGAUCGAGAGUUCGAUCCCCUCCUCUGAUA